GACGGAGGGGGCUAGCGUUGUUCGGAAUUACUGGGCGUAAAGGGCGCGUAGGCGGAUUAGUAAGUUGGGAGUGAAAUCCCGGGGCUUAACCUCGGAACUGCUUUCAAAACUACUAGUCUUGAGUGAAGUAGAGGAUGAUGGAAUUUCUAGUGUAGAGGUGAAAUUCUUAGAUAUUAGAAGGAACACCGGUGGCGAAGGCGGUCAUCUGGACUUCAACUGACGCUGAGGCGCGAAAGCGUGGGGAGCAAACAGG
Molecule: ribosomal RNA, 253 nt
Filed under: uncultured Alphaproteobacteria bacterium
Lineage: Bacteria; Pseudomonadati; Pseudomonadota; Alphaproteobacteria
Description: partial 16S ribosomal RNA
Rfam family: Bacterial small subunit ribosomal RNA
Source: RNAcentral